Molecule: ribosomal RNA, 344 nt
Filed under: Paralichthys dentatus (summer flounder)
Lineage: Eukaryota; Metazoa; Chordata; Actinopteri; Pleuronectiformes; Paralichthyidae
Description: partial 12S ribosomal RNA
Rfam family: Bacterial small subunit ribosomal RNA
Source: RNAcentral
GCUUAGCCCUAAACAUCGAUUGUAAUAUCCGCCCGGGGAUUACAAACGUUAGUUUAAAACCCAAAGGACUUGGCGGUGCUUAACAUCCACCUAGAGGAGCCUGUUCUAGAACCGAUAACCCCCGUUAAACCUCACCCUCUCUUGUCCGCCUAUAUACCACCGUCGUCAGCUUACCCUGUGAAGGCUUAACAGUAAGCAAAGUUGGCAAAGCCCAAAACGUCAGGUCGAGGUGUAGUGAAUGAGGGGGGAAGAAAUGGGCUACAUUUGCUCGAGCAUUGAAAGAAGGAGGAUUUAGCAGUAAGCAGGGAAUAGAGUGCCCUACUGAAAUUGGCCCUAAAGCGCGC